UUGGCAGACUAGACAAUCGCUGGCACAAAUGUGCGGGAGGAAAGUCCGGGCUACAUAGGGCAAUGUGCUAGCUAACAGCUAGGAGGCGAAAGCCUACGACCAGUGCAGCAGAGAAUAGACCGCCUAUUAAUAGGUAAGGGUGAAACGGUGGGGUAAGAGCCCACCGCGUGACUGGUGACAGCUCACGGCAAGGUAAACUCCACAUGUAGCAAGACCAAAUAGGAACUCAAUGGGUUGCCCGCCCAGAGUUCGGGUAGGUUGCUUGAGCAUAUCAGCAAUGAUAUGCCUAGAUGAAUGAUUGUCCACGACAGAACUCGGCUUAUCGGUCUGCCUUUACU
Molecule: RNase P RNA, 338 nt
Filed under: Moraxella catarrhalis
Lineage: Bacteria; Pseudomonadati; Pseudomonadota; Gammaproteobacteria; Moraxellales; Moraxellaceae
Description: RNase P RNA component class A
Rfam family: Bacterial RNase P class A
About the family: Ribonuclease P (RNase P) is a ubiquitous endoribonuclease, found in archaea, bacteria and eukarya as well as chloroplasts and mitochondria. Its best characterised activity is the generation of mature 5'-ends of tRNAs by cleaving the 5'-leader elements of precursor-tRNAs.
Source: RNAcentral